This 341-nucleotide unclassified non-coding RNA is filed under the name Hevea brasiliensis (rubber tree). The record is from RNAcentral. Lineage: Eukaryota; Viridiplantae; Streptophyta; Magnoliopsida; Malpighiales; Euphorbiaceae.
UAGGGAUUUGAGUUGUUUAUAAAUAUGUGAUAUUCUAUUCUAUCAAACAUAGAAGAAAAUAUAAAAAAGAUGUAGUCUUUUUAAAUUCUUAACACAUUCCAAUUCAUUUCUUCUCUGUUCCUAUUCUUCUCCUCUAAUUUUAACCCAACACCUUAAUUGUUCUGUCAUAUUCAUGGCUAAUUCUAUUAUGUAAAGACUCUUUUAUUUUCCUAAAACCAGAUCCCAAAAACCACCCAAAGCCACCGUCAAUUUUCUUUUUGCAUUUCUAAGUGUUACAACACUACAGUCACAGAAAAUUAGAUCAAAAUUUGCUUGAAUGACUCAACUCAACUCAACUCAAC